AGUGAACGCUGGCGGUAGGCCUAACACAUGCAAGUCGAACGGCAGCACAGUAAGAGCUUGCUCUUACGGGUGGCGAGUGGCGGACGGGUGAGGAAUACAUCGGAAUCUACUUUUUCGUGGGGGAUAACGUAGGGAAACUUACGCUAAUACCGCAUACGACCUACGGGUGAAAGCAGGGGAUCUUCGGACCUUGCGCGAUUGAAUGAGCCGAUGUCGGAUUAGCUAGUUGGCGGGGUAAAGGCCCACCAAGGCGACGAUCCGUAGCUGGUCUGAGAGGAUGAUCACCCACACUGGAACUGAGACACGGUCCAGACUCCUACGGGAGGCAGCAGUGGGGAAUAUUGGACAAUGGGCGCAAGCCUGAUCCAGCCAUACCGCGUGUGUGAAGAAGGCCUUCGGGUUGUAAAGCCCUUUUGUUGGGAAAGAAAAGCAGCAGGUUAAUACCCCGCUGUUCUGACGGUACCCAAAGAAUAAGCACCGGCUAACUUCGUG
This 492-nucleotide ribosomal RNA is filed under the name uncultured bacterium. Its description in RNAcentral is "partial 16S ribosomal RNA". It matches the Rfam family "Bacterial small subunit ribosomal RNA", at positions 29 to 507 of the family's 1533-position model. The record is from RNAcentral.